This is a non-coding RNA of Podarcis lilfordi (Lilford's wall lizard), 78 nucleotides long. The record is from the annotation of a GenBank genome assembly. NCBI's taxonomy places the organism in Eukaryota, Metazoa, Chordata, Lepidosauria, Squamata, Lacertidae.
UUAGGGAUAGCUCAGCUGGCAGAGCAUGAGAUUCUGAAUCUCAAGGUCAUGGGUUCGAGUCCCAUGUUGAUUCCUGCA